UCCGGUGGCAAUGGCGGAGGGGCAACACCCGUUCCCAUUCCGAACACGGUCGUUAAGCCCUCCAGCGCCGAUGGUACUGCGUGGGCGACUGCGUGGGAGAGUAGGACGCUGCCGGGA
RNAcentral lists this ribosomal RNA (117 nucleotides) under Candidatus Eiseniibacteriota bacterium. Lineage: Bacteria; Candidatus Eiseniibacteriota. The record is from RNAcentral.